CGUGUAGGCGGCUUGGUAAGUCAGAUGUGAAAGCCCUGGGCUCAACCCGGGAAGUGCAUUUGAAACUGCCAGGCUCGAGUAGGGGAGAGGGAAGUGGAAUUCCUGGUGUAGAGGUGAAAUUCGUAGAUAUCAGGAGGAACACCGGUGGCGAAGGCGACCUCCUGGCCCUAUACUGACGCUGAGACGCGAGAGCGUGGGUAGCAAACA
RNAcentral lists this ribosomal RNA (207 nucleotides) under uncultured bacterium. RNAcentral describes it as "partial 16S ribosomal RNA". It matches the Rfam family "Bacterial small subunit ribosomal RNA", at positions 568 to 774 of the family's 1533-position model. The record is from RNAcentral.